GACUACAAUUUCAUAUCAUAGUAUAUACUUUUUAAAUUAAAACUUGUUAUAUUUUUACAGCAUUCUUUUCCAGUUUUGGUUUGAAAUAAGAACUGUCCAAAAUCUGACUUCAUUUAACCUCAAAUAUUUUCCAUGCAGUCCCACCUAGCAAUGGAUACACUGUGGAAAACAGCACUCAGAUGUUCUUUCAGAAGCAUCCUAAGAUUGAUACCAGAUUUUCCUCUUUUCAUUGGAAAAAAAACAUUGUUAUUAUUUUAUCUGUGUGAAACUGGCAGGGACUAUCAGAACUAAUAUGUGAAUUGCAUAGUUAUCUAUGGCAUACAUAGCAGUUGAAUCUCUUUGCUUAGACACAGGCAGAAAGAAUUUCCGUUUUGGAUGCACAAAAUAUUCUUCAAAUGUAGGACUAUAAGAAAGCUUCUAUUUGUACCUGUAGCUGUGGCUGUCACACAGUGCUUGAUAAAUGGAUGCAGAAAGAGAAGCUGCUAAAGAAUGAAGAGUGUACACCUAAAAUGAAAAGAGCUGGAGUCCCCCAGUAACAAGAACAAUACUAUUAUGAGCUUACAGUGCAGCAGAAACACUCCAUUUCUUAAACAGAAGAAGAACUGCAAGGAUUUCUUGGGAAGACUGAUGGAGGCCAAGUUGUGUUAAAAUGGUUAUUCUCUUCUACUGCUGUCUACUCAGUACACACAAGAUUUUACAAGGAUGGAUGUUAAAAGUAAGUUCUGAGACUGGAGCCACUUCAGUGAUUUAUUCCACAUCAGAGGAUAUGCUCUGGUUAGUCACUAACAUUUACUGUAGAAAAUGCCAUAAUAUAGAAAAGGGAGCAGUACACUAAGAGUCUAUUCCUUACAGCUCCCUUGCAUGACAUGCAGUGAUGUAGGGAAUGAGAUUUUAUCAUACUUAAUCUGAAUUUAACUUAUUAUAUAGAUAUCCAAAAUAUGGUGAUCAAAACUAUAAUUUCAACAUACGUCUAAGUCUGUAGUACAUAGAGCAAUAUUUAUAUAAUUACAGGUAGCCUAAUACUCUGGCAGAUUCUGAAGAACCAAAUAGCCAGGAUGUGGAUACACAGCAAACUGGAAUAGUAAGUUCUUGCCUGAAGAACAUUAGACUUGUAUAGCUUAAUGUACAAAUUUAAGCAUUUGAUAAAAUUGACAGACUAGAACUGUUCAGACUUGUAAAUACAAAUCAGCUGAA
This is a non-coding RNA of Meleagris gallopavo (turkey), 1194 nucleotides long. Lineage: Eukaryota; Metazoa; Chordata; Aves; Galliformes; Phasianidae. The record is from RefSeq and is a predicted model, not a curated record.